CUACGGUCCUCGCGUUUGCGAACAAAAGGCGUAUCCUUGUGCUGAGGACUCUGGGUCCCGCGCUGGCCUCUUUGUGGCGAGUCACGGUUAAUGACCCUGAGCUAGGCGGUCAGUUCGACGCAAACAGAAGAUGAUUACAACAUACGUCGUCUCUGAAAUUGCUAGUCCUUGGAUGCAUUUUCAUUUUCUUGAAAAGCCGGAAGAAGUAACUACAAAAAUGUUAAACUCUGGUACAACAGCCCACACCAAGAGCAGACCAGAGUGAGGUUGCUCAUCGAUUUACAGAUUUGGGAGAAGGACAUUUCAACGGCGUGAUAUUGGUUACCUUUUCUCAACAUCUCCAGAAAUGCCCCUUUGAGGAACAC
Long non-coding RNA from Chinchilla lanigera (long-tailed chinchilla), 365 nucleotides. RefSeq lists it as uncharacterized. The record is from RefSeq and is a predicted model, not a curated record. The transcript has 3 exons. NCBI's taxonomy places the organism in Eukaryota, Metazoa, Chordata, Mammalia, Rodentia, Chinchillidae.